Molecule: transfer RNA, 74 nt
Filed under: Vibrio crassostreae
Lineage: Bacteria; Pseudomonadati; Pseudomonadota; Gammaproteobacteria; Vibrionales; Vibrionaceae
Description: tRNA-Arg
Rfam family: tRNA
About the family: Transfer RNA (tRNA) molecules are approximately 80 nucleotides in length. Their secondary structure includes four short double-helical elements and three loops (D, anti-codon, and T loops).
Source: RNAcentral
GGGGGUGUAGCUCAGCUGGAUAGAGCAACGACCUUCUAAGUCGUGGGUCUUGGGUUCGAAUCCCAACUCUCCCG